UUUCUUAGUUUGAUGCGUUUGGCUCCUUUUGUGAUGGUAUGAACACAUGUAGUAUUGAAAGCUAUCAUACGUUUUACAGUCUAGCCUUCCGGAAUAUUAGUUUAUUUGGGGUCUAAUGAAGUAACGGCUUAUCGCACUAAAACGAUAAACAUGUUUCUUCACGACCCUUUAUGGUCUAAACAUGUUUACAUUCAAAACACUUCACAGCUAAACGUGUUUCCUGACAAAACACUUCAGAACUAAACAUGUUUCCAGAUACAACACUUUACAACUAAACAUGUUUACAGUCUAAGCACAUUUUAGCAAAACAUGUUUCUAGUCUAAAC
Molecule: long non-coding RNA, 326 nt
Filed under: Mytilus galloprovincialis (Mediterranean mussel)
Lineage: Eukaryota; Metazoa; Mollusca; Bivalvia; Mytilida; Mytilidae
Source: RNAcentral